RNAcentral lists this ribosomal RNA (301 nucleotides) under uncultured bacterium. Its description in RNAcentral is "partial 16S ribosomal RNA". It matches the Rfam family "Bacterial small subunit ribosomal RNA", at positions 509 to 808 of the family's 1533-position model. The record is from RNAcentral.
CAGCCGCCGCGGUAAUACGGGGGGGGCAAGUGUUAUUCGGAAUGACUGGGCGUAAAGGGCACGUAGGCGGUGAAAAGGGUGGAAAGUGAAAGUCGCCAAAACACUGGCGGGGUGCUUUCUUGACCAUUUCACUUGAGUGAGAUAGGGGAGAGUGGAAUUUCGUGUGGAGGGAUCAAAUCCUAAGAUAUACGAAGGAACGCCAACCGCGAAGGCAGCUCUCUGGGUCCCCACUGACGCUGGGGUGCGAAAGCAUGGGGAGCAAACAGGAUCAGAUACCCCUGUAGUCCCUGUCUCUUAUACC